CAGUGCAGUUUUGUGUUUUUUGUGGCAUGACUCUACGGAUUUGCAAAACCAAGGUUAAACAGUAAAGAGGAGCAGGUCGCCUCCUGAGAGUGGAACCCUCCAAGGCAAAUCAGCAAUUCAUGCUUGACUUUCAGCUGUUUUAUCAAUCACCUUAAUGUGUAUUUACUCAGAAUAGAAAUAAAAACAAGAUUCUCCCAUUAGGUGCUACUGGCUGGUUUCCACAGAUCAAGUGUGAAUAAGGAUAUUGGAAGUAUACAUGAUGGCGGAGGGAGACUUAAAAGGCAUGCAGAAGCAUCAGAGAGGGAGAGAGAGAGUGUCCAGAAAGCACAGCAGUUGAACACAGAAAGAGAGAGUGCUUUU
Molecule: long non-coding RNA, 360 nt
Organism: Myxocyprinus asiaticus (Chinese sucker)
Lineage: Eukaryota; Metazoa; Chordata; Actinopteri; Cypriniformes; Catostomidae
Exons: 4
Source: RefSeq, a predicted model, not a curated record